Molecule: ribosomal RNA, 497 nt
Filed under: uncultured bacterium
Lineage: Bacteria
Description: partial 16S ribosomal RNA
Rfam family: Bacterial small subunit ribosomal RNA
Source: RNAcentral
GAUGAACGCUGGCGGCGUGCCUAAUACAUGCAAGUCGAGCGAACAGACGAGGAGCUUGCUCCUCUGACGUUAGCGGCGGACGGGUGAGUAACACGUGGAUAACCUACCUAUAAGACUGGGAUAACUUCGGGAAACCGGAGCUAAUACCGGAUAAUAUAUUGAACCGCAUGGUUCAAUAGUGAAAGACGGUUUUGCUGUCACUUAUAGAUGGAUCCGCGCCGCAUUAGCUAGUUGGUAAGGUAACGGCUUACCAAGGCAACGAUGCGUAGCCGACCUGAGAGGGUGAUCGGCCACACUGGAACUGAGACACGGUCCAGACUCCUACGGGAGGCAGCAGUGGGGAAUCUUCCGCAAUGGGCGCAAGCUUGACGCAGCAACGCCGCGUGAGUGAUGAAGGUCUUCGGAUCGUAAAGCUCUGUUAUUAGGGAAGAACAAAUGUGUAAGUAACUAUGCACGUCUUGACGGUACCUAAUCAGAAAGCCACGGCUAACUACGUG